UACGUAGGGGGCAAGCGUUGUCCGGAUUUAUUGGGCGUAAAGAGCGUGUAGGCGGUUUGGUAGGUCCGUUGUGAAAACUCGAGGCUCAACCUCGAGACGCCGAUGGAAACCAUCAGACUAGAGUCCGGAAGAGGAGAGUGGAAUUCCUGGUGUAGCGGUGAAAUGCGCAGAUAUCAGGAAGAACACCCGUGGCUAAGGCGGCUCUCUAGUACGGUACUGACGCUGAGACGCGAAAAGCGUGGGGGAGCGAAACAGG
This 256-nucleotide ribosomal RNA is filed under the name uncultured bacterium. RNAcentral describes it as "partial 16S ribosomal RNA". It matches the Rfam family "Bacterial small subunit ribosomal RNA", at positions 524 to 776 of the family's 1533-position model. The record is from RNAcentral.